This 1640-nucleotide long non-coding RNA is filed under the name Mytilus galloprovincialis (Mediterranean mussel). The record is from RNAcentral. Lineage: Eukaryota; Metazoa; Mollusca; Bivalvia; Mytilida; Mytilidae.
UGCCAGCCUAAAUAAAUAUGUCUCACGAUUAUUCACAAAACCGUGUGCAACAAGACUGUGAAUACGGCGGUAAGUGCAUUUGGUCAAUUUGAGAACUUUCUUGUUUGAAGGUUUUACAAAUGUAAGUACACAUUUCAGCAUUUUUUCACUUGGUUCUGUGGGUUAACAUAUAUAUAAAUCAAAGAAUAAGUUUAACUUACCCUAACACAAACACUAACUCUAAACCGAAAAAAGAGUGGAAGAACCAACUAGAAUUGAGUAUCAGUAAGUUACUUUAUGUAAAGAAGGCAGGGAGUAAUCCACUAUCUUUAAUAUCAAUGCAAAGCACCGCGUCUAAAAAUUUACCGAAGAGAGGCGAAAGAUACCAAAACGGCUUUCAAACUCAUAAGUCAGAAAUGAUAAAUUGGAAAUGACCAAAAUACAAACAACAAUAUUCAAAACACGACAUAGAAAACUAAAUCCACGAAUCCACACGGAUGUGAUUUCUGUUGAACCGGAAAGGUAAGUAUAUCUUGCUCCAUAUAUAUGGCAUCAUUUACUAGAAAUUACAGAAGAACGCGGUUUUAUUACGACGAUUCAAGAGUCUUUUUUAUUUGUAUUGUGGUUAUCACUUUUUUAAAAAGAUGAUAACUUGUUUGGUCGACUGAUAAAAUAGUACGCUUUGAUUUUUAAAGGGAACAUCAUUUAUAUAGUUUAGUCUUUUGAAAUAGCAUACUCGAAAUACUCUAAAAAUAAACCUAACAAGAAAAUAAGAACUGAGGCCCCCAGUUUUUCUUUUGAUUAUCUGAAAGCAAACUCCAAGAUCUAUAUCUAGGAAUGGUUGAAAAUCAUAUCGGCAAUUUUCUUUCUAAUGAUAUAAAAUUGCAGUACAUUUCCCAUAUAUAAUCCUAAAUAUAUAAUAUAAAAAUAAGACGAUGUGGUACCAUUGCCAAAAAGACAUGUGUCCCCCGGAGAAAAAAUGGCAUAGACUUCUACGACUAAUAAUUUUAAAAGUGCACACCAAAACGUCGUGAUCGGUUAAAAAUGUCAUAAACAUUGGAAAAUGACUUGGCGUUAUUUUCAUUUUGGGGUACGAACAAUGAAAUUAACCGUGGUUCUUCAGAUUAAUACGUUUAUUUUUCUAUAAUAUUGAUUUAGAGUUAUUCAUUUCAGACUUCUCUUGCAUUGGAAAAAUCUUAGUGAGGAAAAUGUUCAAGACAUUAACAAGGAAAUAGAACUUAUGAACCAGGGAGAAAACAGGCUCGUCGAGUUGACAAGGAAAGACAGCAGUUUGUCCUCGCUAUCGGGCUUAAAUAAAUCACCUUCAAAAUUGUAAAAGUGACGUUGAAUCCCUUGCAAAGAAAUUCCAAAAUUGUAUACAGAGGGACUGUAACGUGUUCAUCCCAGUAAGCAGACAAGAAUGUCUUAACAAACUGUACUGCUGCCUUCGAAAACGCUUCAGCAAAACACGAAAAGAUGAUUUUCCUUUUAAGCAUAUGUUAGGAGUCCCAGUAUUGAGCCGAAUAAACGAAGCUCAAAAAAUUCUAAGACCUCGUUCAUCACUGUCAUUACUUACACGAAGUCGCAGACUUUCAACAAAUAUUAUCAGGAAGACUUAUAAAGUUUCAAAAUCCGGAUUGAUAUGUAAAUCUGAUGGUGAU